GCUGAAAUAAAUCAGCUCCAGCCUCAGCGUCACGGUGAGGUUGGAAUAUAAGAAAUAUGUCUACACUACUUAAAACAUCCAUAGCUGGCUACCACAAGAGAAGCGAAACUGAGAUCACCGUCAGUAAAUUACACGGUGGGUCUAAUCACUGUGCUGAAUGUUUCAUCUACCAAGGAGACACUCACUCCAGCAUCACGGCCAUUGGGGAGUAUUUGUCGCUCACUAGUCGUCCGUCGUGACGCAGGGAUUACAUACAGGAUACUGGUCAGACUAAGAGAGGAUUAACGUAAGAUGAUAAGAUAACGGGAAGUCAAGGAGAUUAUCGAUAAGCUGAUCAGGCUAGAGUGAAAAUAGUGGCAUUUGUUGGAUGGUAUCAUUAUAUAACAUCCACGGUGCAUGAGCAGAGUCGUGGCUAAAUGGUUCGCUCGUCGCGCCGAUGUCGCGGGUUCAACUUCCCACGGACAUAAUGUGGAAAAUCCAUCUUGUGUCCCCUGGACAUAUUACAUGACACGAUGGUUUGGUGGAAGGCACCCUGGGUGGUAACGUUGGGUAUUUGCAGAUGGGAAAGGACACGCUAGGCGGGUAUAGGGCAAGCUGAGUGGAAACACUUGGUGAAAACGCUGGGUAUCUGCAGGACACGUUAGGUGGGUAUAGGGCAAUCUCAGUGGAAACACUUGAUGGAAACGCUGGUUAUCUGCAGAACACGUUAGGUGGGUAUAGGGCAAGCUCAGUUGAAACACUUGGUGGAAACGCUGGGUAUCUGCAGGACACGUUAGGUGGGUAUAGGGCAAGCUCAGUGGAAACACUUGGUGGAAACGCUGGGUAUCUGCAGGACACGUUAGGUGGGUAUAGGGCAAGUUCAGUGGAAACACUUGGUGGAAACGCUUGGUAUCUGCAGGACACGUAGGUGGGUAUAAGGUAAUCUCAGUGGAAACACUUGGUGGAAACGCUGGGUAUCUGCAGGACAUGUUAGGUGGGUAUAGGGCAAUCUCAGUGGAAACACUUGAUGAAAACGCUGGGUAUCUGCAGGACACGUUAGGUGGGUAUAGGGCAAGUUCAGUGGAAACACUUGGUGGAAACGCUUGGUAUCUGCAGGACACGUUAGGUGGGUAUAGG
Long non-coding RNA from Haliotis rubra (blacklip abalone), 1116 nucleotides. RefSeq lists it as uncharacterized. The record is from RefSeq and is a predicted model, not a curated record. NCBI's taxonomy places the organism in Eukaryota, Metazoa, Mollusca, Gastropoda, Lepetellida, Haliotidae. The transcript is spliced from 3 exons.